UUUAUACUCCCUCCGUCCCAAAAUUCUUGUCUUUGUUUUAUCUAGAUAUGAAUGUAUCUAGUCAUGUGUUAGUAUUGAGAUACAUCUAUUUCUAGAUAAACGUAAGACAAUAAUUUUGGGACGGAGGGAGUAUAUA
Hordeum vulgare subsp. vulgare (domesticated barley) is the source of this 136-nucleotide non-coding RNA. The record is from Rfam. Lineage: Eukaryota; Viridiplantae; Streptophyta; Magnoliopsida; Poales; Poaceae.